RNAcentral lists this ribosomal RNA (253 nucleotides) under uncultured bacterium. RNAcentral's name for it is "partial 16S ribosomal RNA". It matches the Rfam family "Bacterial small subunit ribosomal RNA", at positions 524 to 776 of the family's 1533-position model. The record is from RNAcentral.
UACGGAGGGUGCAAGCGUUAUCCGGAUUCACUGGGUUUAAAGGGAGCGUAGGCGGGUAGGUAAGUCCGUGGUGAAAGCCUCAAGCUUAACUUGAGAACUGCCAUGGAUACUAUUUAUCUUGAAUGUUGUUGAGGUUUGCGGAAUGGGUCAUGUAGCGGUGAAAUGCAUAGAUAUGACCCGGAACACCUAUUGCGAAGGCAGCAGACUAAGCAAAUAUUGACGCUGAGGCUCUAAAGCGUGGGGAUCAAACAGG